RNAcentral lists this long non-coding RNA (1606 nucleotides) under Rattus norvegicus (Norway rat). RNAcentral describes it as "long non-coding RNA NONRATT017555". Lineage: Eukaryota; Metazoa; Chordata; Mammalia; Rodentia; Muridae. The record is from RNAcentral.
AUUGGGCUUAAAAUUCAGCUGAUGUGGAUGCUACCAGAUCUAGCUGGAAAGAGACCUCAGCACAGAGUGUUCUUUGUGGUGGGGAGGGGUUUUCAGUCUUCUCUCUCCUCCCCAUCUUUCUAUGGGGUGUAUUGGAGAUCAGCGUCCUCCACCCCCCCAGGUUUAACCCCCCCACUCUGCCCUCCUCCUGCCCCCACCCCUCCUCCCCCUCAGCCUAUGGAGAUCUUCGUGGAUGACGAGACCAAGUUGACGCUGCACGGGUUGCAGCAAUACUACGUGAAACUGAAGGACAACGAGAAGAACCGGAAGCUCUUUGACCUUCUCGAUGUCCUCGAGUUCAACCAGGUCAGUAUCGAGGGUCUGUGGACAUGAGCACUGCCCGUCUCCAGCUGUGGCAGAAGCCUGUGUAGAAGUAGCCUGUGAUUGACAGGCCGUGGAGGUGAAGAGGUGGAGCGGUGGAGCAAGUCCGAAUGGGAAGAUGAAGUUGGGUGAGAGCUGAGGUAGAGUACUGAUGGCUUCAGAAAGUGUACAAGAGAUUCCCAGGUACCUGGCACUCACCUAAGAGCCUGGCAGGGCAGCCCUGUGCUGGGCUGGCCGUGUGUGUGAAGAGAAUCAUUUGGUUUGUUAGACUAGUUCUUAGAAUGUUCUAGAGGUGGACUCACCCAUGUGUGUUUUGAGGUUUCAUGUCUGUGCAGCUCAGAGGCCAGGAUGUUAGAAAUUAAGGCCUACAUGUACAUGUAGUCAGGUUGAGGAGCAGAGAAAACCAUUUGUGUAGAGAGAUUUGAGUUGGAGUGAGGGAUUUGGGGAACUCUUCUAGAAACACAUGCCUUCCUUUAAACCCGGCAUUCAGGGGGCAGAGGCAGGCAGCUCUUUAAGUCUACGGAGCGAGUUGGAGGACAGCCAGGACUACACAGACUACAAGUGCUGCCUUGAAAAACAAAUCAAAAUUCUGCCAAUGUGUUAGCAUACAUCUUUAAUCCUAAGAAUUAGACAGAGAUAGGUAAGUGCAGGUUUGGGGCCAGCCUGGUCUACAUAAUGUGUUUCAGGACAAUUAGGGCUAAUAGAGAAACCCUGUCUCAAACUUUCUGCUGUUCCAGAGGAUGCACAUUGAGUUCACAGCACCUAUCCAUGUAACUGGGCCCAGGUAAUUCAACACACUGUCUUGAGAGUGCACUGCAUACACCUGACACACAUGCACAAAACCACACAUGCAUACAUUUAAAAAACUUCAAAAGUGAGGUUUCUGGGCUGAGGAAGUGGCUCAGAAGUUACGAACACUUUUGUUCUUCCAGGGAUUCCCAAGUUCAAUUCUCAAUACCCACGUCAGCUCCCAGUCAUGUAAUUACAGUUGGCGGGAGAGGGUCAGGUGUCCUCUGCCGUCUCCACAGGCACCGGGCACACAGCACAAGCAUGUGUGCAGGCAAACCCCACACACCUGAACUUACAAAACCACAUGGGGAUUGUGGGAAGCUGGCACAUACGUCACCCCUGUGCUCCUUAGGUUGUGAUCUUUGUGAAGUCCGUGCAGCGCUGCAUCGCCUUGGCCCAGCUUCUAGUGGAGCAGAACUUCCCAGCCAUUGCUAUCCACCGCGGGAUGCCCCAGGAG